RNAcentral lists this ribosomal RNA (253 nucleotides) under uncultured bacterium. RNAcentral describes it as "partial 16S ribosomal RNA". It matches the Rfam family "Bacterial small subunit ribosomal RNA", at positions 524 to 776 of the family's 1533-position model. The record is from RNAcentral.
UACGAAGGGUGCGAGCGUUGUCCGGAUUUAUUGGGCGUAAAGAGCGUGUAGGCGGCCGAGCAGGUCCGUUGUGAAAACUGAAGGCUCAACCUUCAGAGGUCGAUGGAAACCGUUCGGCUAGAGUCCGGAAGAGGAGAGUGGAAUUCCUGGUGUAGCGGUGAAAUGCGCAGAUAUCAGGAAGAACACCCGUGGCGAAAGCGGCUCUCUGGGACUGUACUGACGCUGAGACGCGAAAGCGUGGGGAGCGAACAGG